GAUGAACGCUAGCGGCAGGCCUAAUACAUGCAAGUCGAACGAGAUUAAGAGGCUUGCUUCUUAUGAAAGUGGCGCACGGGUGCGUAACGCGUAUGCAACCUACCUUAAUCAGGGGGAUAGCCCGAAGAAAUUCGGAUUAAGACCGCAUAAAAACACAGGAUAGCAUUAUCCAAUGUUCAAAUAUUUAUAGGAUUAAGAUGGGCAUGCGUGUCAUUAGCUAGUUGGCGGGGUAACGGCCCACCAAGGCGACGAUGACUAGGGGAUCUGAGAGGAUGACCCCCCAAACGGGUACUGAGACAAGGACCAGAAGCCUACGGGAGGCAGCAGUAAGGAAUAUUGGGCAAUGGAGGGAAAUCUGAACCAGCCAUGCCGGGUGCAGGAAGACAGCCCUCUGGGGCGUAAACUGCUUUUAUUCGGGAAUAAACCUUUCUACGUGGAGGAAGCUGAAUGUACCGAAGGAAUAAGGAUCGGCUAAAUCCGUG
This 482-nucleotide ribosomal RNA is filed under the name uncultured bacterium. RNAcentral's name for it is "partial 16S ribosomal RNA". It matches the Rfam family "Bacterial small subunit ribosomal RNA", at positions 28 to 507 of the family's 1533-position model. The record is from RNAcentral.